RNA transcript from Eucalyptus grandis, 2152 nucleotides. It is a transcript of the gene named RNA-binding protein 24-A, with no coding region annotated. The transcript has 8 exons. The record is from RefSeq and is a predicted model, not a curated record. Lineage: Eukaryota; Viridiplantae; Streptophyta; Magnoliopsida; Myrtales; Myrtaceae.
CACGAAAGACAGGAGUGGGAAACAGGAAGGAGAAGGAGGAGGAGGAGAAGAAGACAAGAGAGGGUGUUUCGGUUGGCUUUGCGGUUUCUUCGUUUUCUCGAUCGCCUUCAUUGUUCAUGUCCUUUCACUUCAACAGCUUUUUUCCGUUCGUGCGUGUGCUCUUUUCCCACGUAAUUCGUACCAAUUCAUCAGACAUUCCCUUCUCUGCCAUCCAUCUUCUUCACCGCCCACAAACCAUAACCACCAUCAACAAAAAGCUACAUCUCUCUCUCUCUCUCUCGCUCUCUCUCUCUCUCUCUCCUCACGCCAUCUAUGAUCGCUUAACGUUCUACUACAGUUGUCUCUCUGCUUUCAGUAUGAUUGCUUCACAAAGUUCCUUUUAAUUUCCACUCUUCCUCUUUCUUCUAUUCCGAUCGUUGCCUUCUCUUUUUAGGACAUACAUCUGUCUCUUCCUGCGAUUCAUGCCUCGUUGCUUCUUGAUCCCUGCUAUUUCACCCUUUAUCAGCAUACCCUUUUGCCCAUUCCUCCAAAUUCCCUCUUUUUUUUCUCAUUAUAUGACAAUAAUAUUCUGUAAUCUGCAUUCUCUUGGCCAUAUCAACACUUGAUUUUGUCAAAGUUAUCAUCUUUCUUGUUGUGUCUUCGUUGGGUGGUGGUUGUUUUGUGUGUGUGUGCGCGCGCGCCUUUUUCUUUCUUUUUCUUUCAAUUCAUGGAUUAUCAACGGAGUUCAAGUUCUGGAUUUCAAUUCGCGAAUCCUGCUUUUGGAGACACCACGUACACCAAGGUGUUUGUUGGGGGUUUGGCUUGGGAGACGCAGAGCGAGACACUGAGGCGACAUUUCGAGCAGUUCGGUCCAAUUCUCGAGGCAGUUGUGAUCACUGAUAAGACCACAGGACGAUCAAAAGGAUACGGUUUUGUAACUUUCCAGGAGGCUGAGGCUGCUAGGAGAGCCUGUGCAGAUCCCACUCCAAUAAUUGAUGGCAGGCGGGCAAAUUGCAAUUUGGCUUCAAUUGGACGAGCCCGCCCGCCUCCUUCCUUUGGAAACCAGAGAUCAGCUCCACUGUAUGGAGGAGGCAUGCAAACCUACCAGGGAGCUUAUACGGAGAAUUUUGGCUACCAGCAACCCGUUUACUACAGCUACCAACAUGGAUAUACUUAUCCUGCUCAUAGAUAUUCAGCACAUGGCCCUGAGUAUGUCUACACACAGGGUGUCUAUAGUCCAUAUAUGGGUCAGCAAUACCUCCAGAUGUACGGAGUGCAAGCGGCUAUUUAUCCCUACAGCCAGGUGGGUCAGAACAUUUCCAGUAGUCGUGGGUUCAUUACUGCCCCGCAGUACUCAGUGCCAAGCCAUCAGAUCAUGCAGCUCGGUGGCCCCACUGCUGAUGCCAUGACAACCCCACAAAUACCCACAAUACACACAUUGUAUCAUAGCGGCGUAGCUACAGCUCUUGCAGCACGACCACAAAUAAUCAUUCCCAGUGCACCUCCUAAAUUUAUUCAGAGUAGCAGUUCCGACGGUACAUCUGGGUGAGGAAGAAAAGACCCGGGUGUGCUUUUCCUUUCCCCCAGUUUUCUUCAGGGUGCGGGGACUAAGAGCAGUCAAGUUGCUACAUCAGUGGCGGGCUUCUGCCUUAUGCCUUCCAAAGUCUAUAAUUUCAUGUUCUCUAGGUCGUCAUACUUAGUCCUCAUGCGGGAGUCAAAUGUCGGAACUGCUCCUGAUUUUGGAGCAGCAUGGGAGACCGUAGUGGCUCUUCCUCGUUUUUGCAGAUCCCAAACUCUUUGCUCGUGCUGGGUAUCUGUCGCGAGCAUUCAUAUUCAUUUUGGUGGGUUGUCCGUGGUCACUGGAGGUGGUUUUCUGGUAGCCAUGGAAUCUACUUGUUGGAAUCAAGAUAUGGUUCUUUGUCCUGGGACGGUCACUGCAUUUGGUGUGUACAUGGUACAUUGUAUAUACAUUUUUCUGAGUAGGGUGCAUAUUAGAACUAGGAGUUCCAAUUGGAGAUAUGAACUUUUGUAAUCAGAUGAACCUCUGAGAAACAUAAGAUGCACAAUUUCCCCCCCUUUUUUUAUUUUAGGAAUAAUGACACUACAAGUAUAUGAAUUUUUGUCAAGUACUACAAUUUAAAUUUGUCUUGACGUAAGGCUCCUAUUUAUUAAA